CUUUACGAGUAUCAAGAUCAGCAAAUAUUCGAAGACUAUUGAAAGGAAGAGAGAAAGUUCGCUCUGGUUUCGCUGUUGGCUUUAUAUCACUCUUUAGAAGGAUUCCUUUCGAAAACUAAAACCAAACUGAUCACACUUAUACCGUAAGAUUUUUGCUAGCUCUGGUGGACCACAAUAAAAUACCGUCACCUUUCCCUUUUUUCGAUCCUGGAGCUGUUUGAAGACCUUGUCCCAGUUUGGACGCCCCGCAUUGGUCCUAGUCUUCAGUCCAGUAAUGAGAUCCCUUUUUUCCUGCACGCAAAAAGAGUUAACGAGGUGCAUAACCGUAGGCGGUAUUUCGCUUGCCCACGAAAAGGAACAUUUUGGGCACGUGUGUCUUGCUUUCCAGUACCGGUGCAUGAUUGACUGGAGGAUUGAAGCGAACGGAGUGACCCCGAUGCCUGUAGCUAUCAAUACUGCAUGCUGGGCCUGGAAUAUGUGACUAGAAGGGGCUCCAUAGGGACCAUCUAGGUUGCUUCAAAUCUGAAGUUCCCUCGAUACUUCUUGUCAGCGAAACUAUAAAAACUUGGUUAACGACUGGCCUUAAAUUGCAAUUAAAGAUCAUUAAAAAAGAGCCAUUCUCAAUUUUGUUGUUGUUUUGUAAGCAUCCCUGAGGUACUCUUUGUAUGCGUACCAAAUUUUAAACAGUUUACAUCAAA
Molecule: long non-coding RNA, 698 nt
Organism: Belonocnema kinseyi
Lineage: Eukaryota; Metazoa; Arthropoda; Insecta; Hymenoptera; Cynipidae
Exons: 3
Source: RefSeq, a predicted model, not a curated record